RNAcentral lists this unclassified non-coding RNA (368 nucleotides) under Hevea brasiliensis (rubber tree). Lineage: Eukaryota; Viridiplantae; Streptophyta; Magnoliopsida; Malpighiales; Euphorbiaceae. The record is from RNAcentral.
GGAUACGAAUUCUGCUGAAGGAUCAGAUUACUACGAGCCGAUCUCGGCCAUUGAUGGUGAAGAAUCCGAUGAAGCUGGAUCAGAGGACGAAACCUACAGCUCCGAUCCUCAUUUCUACCAUAUACCUAACGGAUGCCGUUUAGAGAAUGCAGUUUCCUCUCUUAGCUUGAACGACGAUGUGGAGAGAAGGUGUAGUGAUGACGAAGAGGAGGAGAGGAUGAGAGAGGCUUCUGAUUCGGCGAUAAGAAUGGCGUUUAGAGAGGAUGAGAGUCGGCGGAAUGCUCCGCUGUCGCCGGAGAAUGCAACGAGGAUCAUGGAGGCCAUGCGCGGCAUCUCGUUUGGCGGCUCUGCUCCAGAUUGGACUCGAA